Molecule: long non-coding RNA, 242 nt
Filed under: Carica papaya (papaya)
Lineage: Eukaryota; Viridiplantae; Streptophyta; Magnoliopsida; Brassicales; Caricaceae
Description: long non-coding RNA (CPAP_LNC007172)
Source: RNAcentral
UUCUUAGAUUAGUCAAUGCCAGUUACUUCAUAAUCAAUCAUCCAUGCAGGUCUUCUUGUAACAUGUUGAGGUCAUUCUUUAUUGUUUGCUGAUGUUGGCAUGCUUAGAACAUUUACUGGGCCAUCUGGAAGUUGUUGAUCAUUUUUUGCCCGCUGUGUUGGCUGUCAUCUUCAUUAACUACAUCAUAGUUGAAUGGUAUUUGAAACAUUUCUCCAUUAAAAACUAAAUCACUGACUGAUAAA